UGCGCAGGUGGGCUUGUAAGUCAGUGGUGAAAUACUGCCGCUUAACGGUAGAACUGCCAUUGAUACUGCAAGUCUUGAAUAUGGUUGAGGUAGGCGGAAUGUGUCGUGUAGCGGUGAAAUGCAUAGAUAUGACACAGAACGCCGAUUGCGAAGGCGGCUUACUAAGCCAUUAUUGACGCUGAGGCACGAAAGCGUGGGGAGCGAACAGGAUUAGAUACCCUGGUAGUCC
RNAcentral lists this ribosomal RNA (229 nucleotides) under uncultured bacterium. RNAcentral's name for it is "partial 16S ribosomal RNA". It matches the Rfam family "Bacterial small subunit ribosomal RNA", at positions 568 to 796 of the family's 1533-position model. The record is from RNAcentral.